RNAcentral lists this ribosomal RNA (497 nucleotides) under uncultured bacterium. RNAcentral describes it as "partial 16S ribosomal RNA". It matches the Rfam family "Bacterial small subunit ribosomal RNA", at positions 28 to 507 of the family's 1533-position model. The record is from RNAcentral.
GAUGAACGAUGGCGGGGGGAGGAAGAAAGGAAAGGCGAGAGAAAAGAAGAGGAGCAGGGGAAGGUGAGGGGAGCGGCGGACGGGGGAGGAACAAGUGGAGAAAGCACCUAUAAGACUGGGAUAACUUAGGGAAACCGGAGCUAAUACCGGAGAAUAUAUUGAAGCGCAUGGUUCAAUAGUGAAAGACGGUUUUGCUGUCACUUAUAGAUGGAUCCGCGCCGCAUUAGCUAGUUGGUAAGGUAACGGCUGACCAAGGACAGGGGGCGUAGCCGACCUUGGAGCUUCCUCGGCCCACCUGCAACUGAGCCCCCGUCCCGACUCCUCAUCGAGGCAGCGGUAGGGAAUCUUCCGCAAUGGGCGAAAGCCUGACGGAGCAACGCCGCGUGAGUGAUGAAGGUCUUCGGAUCGUAAUCCUCUGUUAUUCGGGAAGAACAAAUGUGUAAGUAACUAUGCACGUCUUGACGGUACCUAAUCAGAAAGCCCCGGCUCCCUACGUC